GCUGGGCACAGUGGCACGUGCCUGUAGUCCCAGCUACUCGGGAGGCUGAGGUGGGAGGAUAGCUUGAGCCCCGGAGUUCUGGGCUGUAGUGCACUUAUGCCAUUGGGUGUCCGCACUAAGUUUGGCAUCAACAUGGUGACCUCCCGGGAGCAGGGUACCACCAGGUUGCCUAAGGAGGGGUGAACCGGCCCAGGUUGGAAACUGAGCAGGUCAAAACUCCAGUGCCGAUCAGUAGUGGGAUCGCACCUGUGAAUAGCCACUGCACUCCAGCCUGGGCAACAUAGCGAGACCCCAUCUCU
This 299-nucleotide signal recognition particle RNA is filed under the name Cebus imitator (Panamanian white-faced capuchin). RNAcentral's name for it is "Metazoan signal recognition particle RNA (ENSCCAG00000008054.1)". It matches the Rfam family "Metazoan signal recognition particle RNA". Rfam says of the family: The signal recognition particle (SRP) is a universally conserved ribonucleoprotein. It is involved in the co-translational targeting of proteins to membranes. The eukaryotic SRP consists of a 300-nucleotide 7S RNA and six proteins: SRPs 72, 68, 54, 19, 14, and 9. The record is from RNAcentral. Lineage: Eukaryota; Metazoa; Chordata; Mammalia; Primates; Cebidae.